AAUCGUCUUAGAGUUGAUCUGACUCAGAACGAACGCUGGCGGCGUGCUAACACAUGCAAGUCGAACGUGAUCCAGAGCUUGCUCUGGUGAAAGUGGCGCACGGGUGAGUAACGCGUGGAUAACCUACGUGGUAUCCGAGAUAACAUUCCGAAAGGGGUGCUAAUACCGGAUAAGCCCACGGGCUCUUUGGAGCUUGCGGGAAAAGGUGGCCUCUAUUUAUAAGCUACUGUAUCAGGAUGGGUCCGCGUACCAUUAGCUAGUUGGCGGUGUAACGGACCACCAAGGCGACGAUGGUUAGCUGGUCUGAGAGGAUGAUCAGCCACACUGGAACUGAGACACGGUCCAGACUCCUACGGGAGGCAGCAGUGGGGAAUUUUGCGCAAUGGGGGAAACCCUGACGCAGCAACGCCGCGUGAGUGAUGAAGGCCUUUGGGUCGUAAAGCUCUGUCAGAGGGGAAGAAAUGAUAUAGUGCUAAUACCACUUUAUCUUGACSGURCCCUCAAAGGAAKCACCGGCUAAYUWCGURCCAGCASCCGCGGUAAUACAAGGGGSMAYUCKGCGARAUAUCCAUCACACUGKCGGCCSCGUCUGAGCGGG
RNAcentral lists this ribosomal RNA (598 nucleotides) under uncultured Geobacteraceae bacterium. RNAcentral's name for it is "partial 16S ribosomal RNA". It matches the Rfam family "Bacterial small subunit ribosomal RNA", at positions 1 to 575 of the family's 1533-position model. The record is from RNAcentral. Lineage: Bacteria; Pseudomonadati; Thermodesulfobacteriota; Desulfuromonadia; Geobacterales; Geobacteraceae.